Molecule: ribosomal RNA, 503 nt
Filed under: uncultured bacterium
Lineage: Bacteria
Description: partial 16S ribosomal RNA
Rfam family: Bacterial small subunit ribosomal RNA
Source: RNAcentral
AACGAACGCUGGCGGCACGUUUUAAGCAUGCAAGUCGAAUGGCAGCAGGGGCAACUCUGUGAGAAUGGCGAACGGGUGAGUAACACGUAGGUGAUCUGCCUUGAGGAUGGGGAUAGCCUGUGGAAACACAGGGUAAUACCGAAUGAGCUGACGAGACUUUGGUUUUGUUAGUAAAGGUGCUACGGCACCGCCUUGAGAGGAGCCUGCGGCUGAUUAGCUAGUUGGUGGGGUAAGAGCUUACCAAGGCGACGAUCAGUAGCCGGCCUGAGAGGGUGUACGGCCACACUGGAACUGAGACACGGUCCAGACUCCUACGGGAGGCAGCAGCUAGGAAUCUUCCGCAAUGGGCGAAAGCCUGACGGAGCGAUGCCGCGUGAUCGAUGAAGGUCGAGAGAUUGUAAAGAUCUUUUCUACAUGAGGAAUAAGUCUGGGAGGGAAUGCCCGGAUGAUGACGUUAGUGUAGGAAUAAGCCCCGGCUAAUUACGUGCCAGCAGCCGCAGUAA